UACGGGGGGGGCAAGCGUUGUUCGGAAUUACUGGGCGUAAAGGGCUCGUAGGUGGCCAACUAAGUCACACGUGAAAUCCCUCGGCUUAACCGGGGAACUGCGUUUGAUACUGGAUGGCUUGAGUUUGGGAGAGGGACGCGGAAUUCCAGGUGUAGCGGUGAAAUGCGUAGAUAUCUGGAGGAACACCGGUGGCGAAGGCGGCGUCCUGGACCAAUACUGACACUGAGGAGCGAAAGCCAGGGGAGCAAACGGG
RNAcentral lists this ribosomal RNA (253 nucleotides) under uncultured bacterium. RNAcentral describes it as "partial 16S ribosomal RNA". It matches the Rfam family "Bacterial small subunit ribosomal RNA", at positions 524 to 776 of the family's 1533-position model. The record is from RNAcentral.